Molecule: long non-coding RNA, 460 nt
Organism: Chiroxiphia lanceolata (lance-tailed manakin)
Lineage: Eukaryota; Metazoa; Chordata; Aves; Passeriformes; Pipridae
Exons: 3
Source: RefSeq, a predicted model, not a curated record
UCUUAGAAGCCCCUUUGCUCCUCCUGCCUCUUCAAGCAAGAGUAACAGAUGUUUCCUGUCUGUUUAUUUAUGGAAGGCAGAGAGCAUUGGAGCAGAAAUGGUCAAAACUUUGUUCUGUCCUGCUUAUGAGUGAGAUAGUGUAAAAAAACAAACUAAGGACUCUGCUCUUGAAUGUUGAACACAUAAAAAGGGGGCAGAGUUAACUGGCCUGAUGUCAUUGCAAGGGACCUUUACAUCUGAGAAUGUUCAGAUUAAUAUUUCUUCGAGCAUGAAAGUUUUGCACAUUUUGAGGAAGAAAAAGGUAACGAAAGGGUCCAAGACUAAUUACAAGCAAGCACUUGAGCGGGGAGAACUUACUUUCCUGAUUCUCUUCAGCCAGGCCUCAUCACAGAGUUGCAUAAAGUCCAUUAAAUGAAGUUCCUUGGGAAAAAUGAAGAUAUGGAGGAAGACAAGUACUUAG